Molecule: ribosomal RNA, 253 nt
Filed under: uncultured bacterium
Lineage: Bacteria
Description: partial 16S ribosomal RNA
Rfam family: Bacterial small subunit ribosomal RNA
Source: RNAcentral
UACGAAGGGGGCUAGCGUUGUUCGGAAUUACUGGGCGUAAAGCGCGCGCAGGCGGCUAUCCAAGUCAGUGGUGAAAGCCCGGAGCUCAACUCCGGAACUGCCAUUGAAACUGUUUAGCUUGAGGAUGAGAGAGGUGAGUGGAAUUCCCAGUGUAGAGGUGAAAUUCGUAGAUAUUGGGAAGAACACCGGUGGCGAAGGCGGCUCACUGGCUCAGUACUGACGCUCAGGCGCGAUAGCGUGGGGAUCAAACAGG